AACGUACAUGGCGCCUCAUUAGAGGCAUGCUUGUUUCAGUGUCCAACCACCUCACGCUCCAACUUGUUGGUUUGUGGUCGUUGAGUCUCACGGGGUCUGUUCAGCAGCUUCACAGCUGCUACUUGCACCCCGCGUGAUUCGAAGUUUGAAUUUGUCUGUUAAGACUCCCCGUGCGUAAACUAGAGAUGUUUGGCGCGGUGUGGUAGGUCUAUGUCUGCAAAGACUAAGAUAUCAACCCCCGUGAUCCUUAGCUCUGGAUUGUAUUCAACGUUACAGCGCAUGUGUCUUGGAGGACUAGAAAGCAGUCUAGAGCAGCAUAUAUCUAUAUAUCCUGCUUGAACUGGCGCGCCACACUAUUUCGGCGCCCAACCCCCCUUUUAAUUCAGACCUGAAAUCAAGUAAGAGGACCCGCUGAAUUUAA
This 421-nucleotide unclassified non-coding RNA is filed under the name uncultured fungus. Its description in RNAcentral is "partial contains ITS1, 5.8S rRNA and ITS2". Lineage: Eukaryota; Fungi. The record is from RNAcentral.